GGUAAGUUAUCACAUGUAUAGCUCCUGAUUCAUAUGUUGGUUUUGAGGGAAGAUAGCAAAGCUCCCUCGUCACAUGUGAGGCAUGAACAUACUGCUCUUGUUCUUCCAAUUUAUUAUUCCUUUCUAGCAAGUUUAUAAUGUAAGCUGGUAUGGGUUUCCUCUGGUUUUUAGCAUAAAUUAGGGCUAGAUAAUGUGAUUCAGGAAUAGUAAUUCUAAAGAACAGAGAUAAAGUACCAUAAGAGUCCUUUCUUGCUUUUUAUGGUCUGUCUAUGUAUGUAUCAAAAAAAUUAUGAUGUUUGUUGGCAUUCUUAAAAGAUGUGAAAGAAAUCCUGUCUUAAGCUUGAUAUCAUUCUUGGUGGUGAACAGGCACCGAAGGUUAGUUUCAAGAAGCCAAUUGGAAGUGUGAGUGUUUCUGGCCAUAAGUUUGUGGGUUGUCCAAUGCCUUGUGGUGUUCAGAUCACAAGGAUGGAACACAUCAAUGUGCUUUCAAGCAAUGUUGAAUACCUAGCAUCAAGGGAUGCUACGAUCAUGGGAAGUCGGAAUGGUCAUGCUCCUCUUUUCCUUUGGUAUACUCUCAAUAGAAAAGGUUAUAAAGGAUUUCAAAAAGAUGUUCAGAAAUGCCUCAGAAAUGCUCACUACUUGAAAGACCGACUGCACGAGGCUGGGAUCAGUGCUAUGCUAAAUGAACUCAGCAGUACGGUUGUGUUUGAGCGGCCCCGGGAUGAGGAGUUUGUUCGUAGGUGGCAACUUGCUUGUGAAGGGAAUAUAGCACAUGUGGUGGUGAUGCCUAAUGUGACAAUCGAAAAACUGGAUUUCUUCUUGAAUGAAUUAGUUGAAAAACGGUCGACUUGGUAUCAAGGGAAUGUUCAACCUCCUUGUAUUGCAGCAGAGAUAGGGAAAGCGAAUUGCGUUUGUGCUCUGCACAAGUGAAAAAAAAU
RNAcentral lists this long non-coding RNA (938 nucleotides) under Gossypium barbadense (sea-island cotton). RNAcentral's name for it is "long non-coding RNA (GBAR_LNC000947)". Lineage: Eukaryota; Viridiplantae; Streptophyta; Magnoliopsida; Malvales; Malvaceae. The record is from RNAcentral.